AGGAGGGUGGAGCAGCGUGGAGCAACGUGGAGCAACGUGGAGGAGGGUGGAGCAACGUGGAGCAGCGUGGAGCAACGUGGGCUCAGAGGAAGGAAUUCUGCCUCCCUGAGAAAUGUUGGUCUGGGCUUUCCUCAAUUAUUUCUGAAAAUCACAAGACAUGUGUGGUCCAUACCAGCUGUGGGUCCCCGGGUCCUCGGCACCUUUCACCUCACCAAGACCAAUGCAGGGAAGUCUCACAGUCAUCUUGUGGUGAGUUUCAGGUAUUUCUAAUUUAUUUUUCAAAAAUAAAACAACAAUAUCUCCACAGAUAAUUAGUCCAAAAAUUAGAA
This is a long non-coding RNA of Pseudoliparis swirei, 329 nucleotides long. RefSeq lists it as uncharacterized. The record is from RefSeq and is a predicted model, not a curated record. The transcript has 3 exons. Lineage: Eukaryota; Metazoa; Chordata; Actinopteri; Perciformes; Liparidae.